CNAUAAAUAUUUAUACAGUACGAAAGGGCCUAUAAUUAUAAUUGUAUUCUCAUAUUAGCAAAUAAUGCAUUAGAAUUAGAAUCUAAAUAACCUCUUAUUAUUUUAAUAAAUUUUUUAAUU
Molecule: ribosomal RNA, 120 nt
Filed under: Phaeacius malayensis
Lineage: Eukaryota; Metazoa; Arthropoda; Arachnida; Araneae; Salticidae
Description: partial 16S ribosomal RNA
Source: RNAcentral